GCCUUGAUAGCUCAGUCGGUAGAGCGUUGGACUUCUAAUCUGAGGGUCCAGGGUUCAAAUCCCUUUUCAGGCA
Molecule: non-coding RNA, 73 nt
Organism: Cheilinus undulatus (humphead wrasse)
Lineage: Eukaryota; Metazoa; Chordata; Actinopteri; Labriformes; Labridae
Source: the annotation of a RefSeq genome assembly